AUGGCCAUGGCCAUUGCCAAGCUCGCCCUCCUCAUUCUGGCCGCCGCCUUCCUCGCAGGCACCAGCAAUGGGCUUGCCGAGUACCGGCUCGUGGUCAAGACCAAGAAAGGGACUCUAAGCGGCACAGAAUCGCUUGUUGUCUUCGAGCUGUACGAUUCGUCCGGCGGGGCCGGCGUGAUACGCUUGAUAGAUGGCGAUGGUCCCACGUUCAACUCGGACUCCCUCGACACCUUCACCUUCUAUGAGGCAAAAGGCAACGAGCCGUGCCACCUCGGCCUCCGCAUCUUUGACUCGGCUGAGAACACAUGGCGGCCUGAGUCCGUCAACCCCAAAUAUGUGACGGGUAUGGGGCACCCGGGCACGGUGGAUGCGGCAGCACGGGCGGCUGCAGAGGAAGCUAUCCACACCCACAUUGGGAAGAAGCGACAGUGGAGGAACACACAUGCCCUCGCCCGGGAGCAGAAUCGGGUGGUCCGUGCCAUGCUCGAAAUGCCACCAAGGGAGGAGAAGGAUGAUAGUGACGGUGAGGACAGCUCCGGCGACGUGUAG
This 549-nucleotide ribosomal RNA is filed under the name Triticum aestivum (bread wheat). RNAcentral describes it as "partial small subunit ribosomal RNA". The record is from RNAcentral. Lineage: Eukaryota; Viridiplantae; Streptophyta; Magnoliopsida; Poales; Poaceae.